This 397-nucleotide ribosomal RNA is filed under the name uncultured bacterium. RNAcentral's name for it is "partial 16S ribosomal RNA". It matches the Rfam family "Bacterial small subunit ribosomal RNA", at positions 523 to 918 of the family's 1533-position model. The record is from RNAcentral.
AUACGUAGGGGGCGAGCGUUGUCCGGAAUGAUUGGGCGUAAAGGGCGCGUAGGCGGCGCGGUAAGUCUGGAGUGAAAGUCCUGCUUUCAAGGUGGGAAUUGCUUUGGAUACUGACGCGCUUGAGUGCAGGAGAGGUUAUCGGAAUUCCCGGUGUAGCGGUGAAAUGCGUAGAGAUCGGGAGGAACACCAGUGGCGAAGGCGGGUAACUGGACUGCAACUGACGCUGAGUCGCGAAAGUGUGGGGAGCCAACAGGAUUAGAUACCCUGGUAGUCCACACUGUAAACGAUUAAUGCUAGGUGUAAGAGGUAUCGACCCCUUUUGUGCCGGAGUCAACACAAUAAGCAUUCCGCCUGGGGAGUACGGCCGCAAGGUUGAAACUCAAAUGAAUUGACGGGG